GAUUAUUCAUUACAAAGCUCAUGGUUUUAUAUUUAUACCCUGGAGCAAGCUAACAUCCUAAUCGGUUACGACAUGAACCAUUACAAUGAGUCUAAAACUAUUAAAGAUAAAUCUCCACGCUUUCCCUUAUUUGGUGAGUUUGAUUUCGCCUUGAAUCGGAUUCCUUCUGACUUUCUAUCAGCUUCUAUAAUCUCGUCGUCCACAGUUAGCCUUGGUCAAAGACAAGUGUCAAUAGACUCUUUUGCAAUUUCAUGGGCUAUCAGAACCUUAUCUUCAUCGAUUGACUCUAGUCAAAAACUGGUGUCAACAUUAGCUCAUCCUCCAAUUAUAAAGAAUUGGCUGAAAAGUUCGAUGUGGUCUAAGACCAAAAUGAUGAGCUAAAUAAGAAAAUUGAGAUCCUUGAACAAGCCAAAACUAUCUCUAACAAUGCAUCCACACCUUUUCAUGAUAAACUUAAAAACUAUGACUCUACUUCCUGCAUUGAUUUAAUUGAUAAAUCUUCC
RNAcentral lists this long non-coding RNA (503 nucleotides) under Setaria viridis. RNAcentral's name for it is "long non-coding RNA (SVIR_LNC010975)". The record is from RNAcentral. Lineage: Eukaryota; Viridiplantae; Streptophyta; Magnoliopsida; Poales; Poaceae.